This 497-nucleotide ribosomal RNA is filed under the name uncultured bacterium. RNAcentral's name for it is "partial 16S ribosomal RNA". It matches the Rfam family "Bacterial small subunit ribosomal RNA", at positions 28 to 507 of the family's 1533-position model. The record is from RNAcentral.
GAUGAACGCUGGCGGCGUGCCUAAUACAUGCAAGUCGAGCUAACGGACUAGAAGCUUGCUUCUCUGAUGUUAGCGGCGGCCGGGUUAGUAACACUUGGAUAACCUACCUAUAAUACUGUGAUAACUUCGGGAAACCGUCGCUAAUACCGGAUAAUAUUUUGAACCGCAUUGUUCAAAAGUGAAAUACGUUCUUGCUGUCACUUAUAGAUGGAUCCGCGCUGCAUUAGCUAGUUGGUAAGGUAACGGCUUACCAAGGCAACGAUGCAUAGCCGACCUGAGAGGGUGAUCGGCCACACUGGAAAUGAGACACGGUCCAGACUCAUACGGGAGGCAGCAGUAGGGAAUCUUCAGCAAUGGGCGAAAGCCUGACGGAGCAAAGACGCGUGAGUGAUGAAGGUCUUCGGAUCGUAAAACUCUGUGAUUAGGGAAGAACAUAGGUGUAAGUAACUGUGCACAUCUUAACGGUACCUAAUCAGAAAGCCACGGCUAACUACGUG